RNAcentral lists this long non-coding RNA (2453 nucleotides) under Pomacea canaliculata. Its description in RNAcentral is "uncharacterized LOC112558024". Lineage: Eukaryota; Metazoa; Mollusca; Gastropoda; Architaenioglossa; Ampullariidae. The record is from RNAcentral.
UAGAUAGGAGAUUUCCGCGCGGGAAAACUACGAGUAGAGAAAUCAUAGAAGUUUGUGGUCUUCCCGAAAAUUUCUUAUCAUUUGUAGAAAUGGUGAGUUUAUGCUAGUAAAACAAACCGACAGACGAAAGAUUCUCACAAGUCUUUUCAUGUAAAGCAGCCAGACAGUUUAAUUCCAAUGAUGAGGAAAAUGAUGAUGCUAAUGAAAAUGAUGUUUCCAGCAAUGCGUCUUCUCUUGAUGAUAUGGUUUCCUUUAAUGGUAUUUGGCACAAGAGGGUCACGGUGUAGUAAUAGAGAAGUUUUGAUGGGGCUAUUACUAGAUUAUGAAGUUUUUUCCAAGAAUUGCUUUGGAUAUGCCAGCACCAAAGUAAAAAACAUGACUGAAAUGAGAGAAAAGAAUGGGAGAAACAACACAAGUCUACGUGGUAAAUUAUGAUGGUUCUUCAAAGGCAAUGGAGAUAGAAUUUUCUCUAAUAUUGUGGAGCAGGUCACUAGAAAAACAACAUUGGGUAUGCAUGUAUGGUCUCAGACGGAGACUCUACCGCCCACUCAGCAGCAACAAAUGCAAAGGUUUAUGGUGACACCACAAUAGAGAAGUUAGAAUGUGUCAAUUAUUGUCAUAAAAGAAUGGGGGCAGCUCUUAGGAGAAUAUGGAGGAUUGACUGAAAAUGCCUUCUAAGUACUAUUGUAAAGUACUACAACAUUGCCAUCAAAAAGCACUUAAGAAAUCCUGAGGAGAGCUAUCUUGGCUGGCUGAGCUGUUACACUGCAUGUCAACAGAUGAAAAUCUGCAUCAUCUGAGAUGUCCUGAUGACCCAAAGUCUUGGUGUUUUUGUAACAAAGCGGCAGCCAAAGGCAAGGCACCAGGAAAGCUUAAGAAAAAAAAUACACACUCUUGCAUAUGAAGUUGCUCGUGCCAUUUGCCCCAUGUAUGAAAGGAUAUCAGACCCCCAAUCAUCUGAAGAGAAUGCAUCAUGGUUGAACUCAAAAUGCCAAUGAAAUGCCACCAUCUGGGCUAGAUGUCCAAAGACAACAUUUGUGGGUGCCACAUACUGUAUGUCAAAUCAACUAUGUCACAGCUCAGUCAAGGCUCAGCUCACCUCUCCCAGAUGAUGAAACAUCUUCGAUGUUAUUCCAUCAAUUAUUUUGAAAGUCAACCAAAAGAAAAAAUAAGAAAAGAUAUGUAGGAAAGCAGAUCGUGCAACCAUCCCUGCAUCAGAGAGGCAAAGACAAGAACAUGUGCAGACAAAAAUGCUAAUAGUUGCCAACCAAGAAAGCUGUGAGGGUGAAAUGUAUGGUCCUGGUAUACUAGAAUUGACCUAAAUUAUAUGGUAGGAUGCCCAGUCUAGCAUAUAAACACUAAAAACUGUUUUUUAAAGUGAUCUGACAAAAUGUCUUUUGAGCUUAAAUCUUUAAACUUGAAUUUCUGCAAUUGCUGUUUUUCACAUCAGAGCUUGAAUACAAAACACUGUAUCUCAAGAAGUUCAAACGUCAUUCUUUAGAUCACCGUCUCUAGUGAACUUGUUCUACUUUUAUUUUUAGCUUACUGUAACAAGAGCACCUUCCCAUGUUUCAAUUGCCUGCUGGGACCAAUAAAGUUGAUCAUUGUUAUAAAGACACCAAAAGUUUUGGUAUAUGACAUGGUAUUGUGUGUAUGCAUUUUUGUAUCUCUCGAUCAAAAGUGAAAUCUUUCAUUGUAGGUACCCAAAAGCAUUUUUUUAUGUGCUGAAAAUAUGGUAUUUUAACACUAUGGUUUUAAAAAAAUUCAUAUUCAUAACAGAUUUUAAUUUUUGGAGUAGGUGCCUCAACUUACCUGUAAACGACUGUGAGCAUAUAUCUAAUUUCAAAACUUUGUAUUUCUAGCUAUUUUACCAACACAUUUAUUUUAGAUAUUCUGAUCUUGCAAAUAUUGUUCUACAAAUUUUCAAACCACAUAUGCAUCAAAAUAUUGUAUAUUUAGAGAACAAAUUUUGCACAGGAAUAAAUUCAUUUUUUGUUUAUUGUCACUUUUGUCGUCUUGUGAUGAGGAAAAAUGUGGGUAUGCAAUUUAGCUUUAGUACUGACAGCAAGUAAACUCUGACAUGCCACAUUUGCUGUCUCAUCUCCGACACUCACUCACAUUUAACAAGUUGCCACAAAAUUACAUUCUGUUUGCUUUAUUCUGCAACAGUACCAGUUUGUAGUCCCUUAAAAAUCAUUAUCACUGAAGCAUGGCUUUUGUGUACCAGAAAAUGGACAGGCAAGGGAAAAACUAACAAAAGCAUUUUUAAAUAUAAAUUGUAAUAUUUCCCACUUUCUCUCCAAACCUCUAAUCUUUUCUUGAAAUAACCUUUAUUCCAUGGUAUUUCUAAUCCUAGAAACACAAUAUACAGGGAGUAUUUUCAUAUGUACAUUACUUCCUGGGCAAUGAAAAAUAGACUUCACAAAAAGUUUUCCUGGGAAUAAUAAAAAAAA